This 497-nucleotide ribosomal RNA is filed under the name uncultured bacterium. RNAcentral's name for it is "partial 16S ribosomal RNA". It matches the Rfam family "Bacterial small subunit ribosomal RNA", at positions 28 to 507 of the family's 1533-position model. The record is from RNAcentral.
GAUGAACGCUGGCGGCAUGCCUAAUACAUGCAAGUCGAGCGAACGGACGAGAAGCUUGCUUUUCUGAUGUUAGCGGCGGACGGGUGAGUAACACGUGGAUAACCUACCUAUAAGACUGGGAUAACUUCGGGAAACCGGAGCUAAUACCGGAUAAUAUUUUGAACCGCAUGGUUCAAAAGUGAAAGACGGUCUUGCUGUCACUUAUAGAUGGAUCCGCGCUGCAUUAGCUAGUUGGUAAGGUAACGGCUUACCAAGGCAACGAUGCAUAGCCGACCUGAGAGGGUGAUCGGCCACACUGGAACUGAGACACGGUCCAGACUCCUACGGGAGGCAGCAGUAGGGAAUCUUCCGCAAUGGGCGAAAGCCAGACGGAGCAACGCCGCGUGAGUGAUGAAGGUCUUCGGAUCGUAAAACUCUGUUAUUAGGGAAGAACAUAUGUGUAAGUAACUGUGCACAUCUUGACGGUACCUAAUCAGAAAGCCACGGCUAACUACGUG